RNAcentral lists this unclassified non-coding RNA (380 nucleotides) under uncultured fungus. RNAcentral's name for it is "partial contains ITS1, 5.8S rRNA and ITS2". The record is from RNAcentral. Lineage: Eukaryota; Fungi.
AACGCACAUUGCGCCCGCUGGUAUUCCGGCGGGCAUGCCUGUCCGAGCGUGAUAAUCGCCAAUCAAGCUUCGGCUUGGUGCUGGGUCAGGUUCGUUCCGAUUCCCGAGCGCCCCGACCUCCGGUGACCCUGAGAGGGGUUGGUCGUAGGGACGAGGGCUCGAGGGAGGCCCCAAAGCGCUCGUCGGCGAGACGCUGCCGCUGAGGGGCGGACAGUCACCCGAGCGUUGUGAAUUUUACGAUCGCUCCGGUGCUGCUCCGUCCUCCGAGCGAGCAGGCGCGUGUGACACCGCGAAAGUCAGCCGAGUGCUUGGCCGUCGUUGACGUGACGGCCUCUUAUCAAUUGCACCUCGGAUCAGGCAGGGUUACCCGCUGAACUUAA